UCUCUUCAGUGUGACAAAGCAUCAGAGAGGACGGGUACCUGCCAGUGCCAGCUUGAGAGCCUUGAAGAUGCUGGGUUUCUGCUGGGAGCUUUCAUAAA
This is a non-coding RNA of Tinamus guttatus (white-throated tinamou), 98 nucleotides long. The record is from RefSeq and is a predicted model, not a curated record. Lineage: Eukaryota; Metazoa; Chordata; Aves; Tinamiformes; Tinamidae.